GAGCGGCCGAUAUCAGAUUAGCUAGUUGGUGAGGUAAAGGCUCACCAAGGCGACGAUCUGUAGCGGGUCUGAGAGGAUGAUCCGCCACACUGGAACUGAGACACGGUCCAGACUCCUACGGGAGGCAGCAGUGGGGAAUUUUGGACAAUGGGGGCAACCCUGAUCCAGCCAUGCCGCGUGAGUGAAGAAGGCCUUCGGGUUGUAAAGCUCUUUCGGCCGGGAAGAAAUCGUAUGGGUUAAUACCCGGUGCGGAUGACGGUACCGGCAUAAGAAGCACCGGCUAACUACGUGCCAGCAGCCGCGGUAAUACGUAGGGUGCGAGCGUUAAUCGGAAUUACUGGGCGUAAAGCGUGCGCAGGCGGUUUUGUAAGACAGGCGUGAAAUCCCCGGGCUCAACCUGGGAACU
RNAcentral lists this ribosomal RNA (406 nucleotides) under uncultured bacterium. RNAcentral's name for it is "bacterial SSU rRNA". It matches the Rfam family "Bacterial small subunit ribosomal RNA", at positions 224 to 622 of the family's 1533-position model. The record is from RNAcentral.